UACAGGGGGUGCAAACGUUGCUCGGAAUUAUUGGGCGUAAAGCGCGCGUAGGCGGCUACUUAAGUCGGAUGUGAAAGCCCCUGGCUCAACUGGGGAAGUGCACCCGAAACUGAGUGGCUUGAGUGCGAAAGAGGGUCGCGGAAUUCCCGGUGUAGAGGUGAAAUUCGUAGAUAUCGGGAGGAACACCGGUGGCGAAGGCGGCGACCUGGGUCGACACUGACGCUGAGGUGCGAAAGCUAGGGGAGCGAACGGG
This 253-nucleotide ribosomal RNA is filed under the name uncultured bacterium. Its description in RNAcentral is "partial 16S ribosomal RNA". It matches the Rfam family "Bacterial small subunit ribosomal RNA", at positions 524 to 776 of the family's 1533-position model. The record is from RNAcentral.